Molecule: ribosomal RNA, 450 nt
Filed under: uncultured Glomus
Lineage: Eukaryota; Fungi; Glomeromycota; Glomeromycetes; Glomerales; Glomeraceae
Description: SSU rRNA
Rfam family: Eukaryotic small subunit ribosomal RNA
Source: RNAcentral
AGCAGCCGCGGUAAUUCCAGCUCCAAUAGCGUAUAUUAAAGUUGUUGCAGUUAAAAAGCUCGUAGUUGAAUUUCGGGGUCAGUAGAUUGGUCGUGCCACUGGUAUGUACUGGUCUUACUGGCUCCUCCUUCCUGAUGAACCGUAAUGCCAUUAAUUUGGUGUUGCGGGGAAACUGGACUGUUACUUUGAAAAAUUAGAGUGUUUAAAGCAGGCUAACGCUUGAAUACAUUAGCAUGGAAUAAUGAAAUAGGACGUUCGAUCUUAUUUUGUUGGUUUCUAGGAUUGACGUAAUGAUUAAUAGGGAUAGUUGGGGGCAUUAGUAUUCAAUUGUCAGAGGUGAAAUUCUUGGAUUUAUUGAAGACUAACUACUGCGAAAGCAUUUGCCAAGGAUGUUUUCAUUAAUCAAGAACGAAAGUUAGGGGAUCGAAGACGAUCAGAUACCGUCGUAGU